Non-coding RNA from Pelobates cultripes (western spadefoot toad), 280 nucleotides. NCBI's taxonomy places the organism in Eukaryota, Metazoa, Chordata, Amphibia, Anura, Pelobatidae. The record is from the annotation of a GenBank genome assembly.
AUUUUCACUUGUGCUCGUACGUCGCUAUACAUGGCCUUAAUCAAAGUUAUAGCUUGCGUGGGGAAUCCCAUAUGGGACAGAAGCGUGAACAAGUACGUCCAUGAAACCCUAUCAAACGCUUUUUCAGCGUCCAAUGAGACCAGCAUAGUUGGGGUGUGAGUGACCUUCUGUUUCCAAAUGAGAUCUAUGUUCCUACGGGUGUUCUCAAACAACUGUCUGCUCUGCACGAAUCCUACUUGAUCUGCACCCACCAGAGUAGCCAAGUAAGGGUUCAGUCUUG